This 253-nucleotide ribosomal RNA is filed under the name uncultured bacterium. Its description in RNAcentral is "partial 16S ribosomal RNA". It matches the Rfam family "Bacterial small subunit ribosomal RNA", at positions 524 to 776 of the family's 1533-position model. The record is from RNAcentral.
UACGGGGGGGGCAAGCGUUGUUCGGAAUUACUGGGCGUAAAGGGUGCGUAGGCGGCUUUCUAAGUUGGAUGUGAAAACUCUGGGCUCAACCCAGAGCCUGCAUCCAAAACUGGAGAGCUGGGGUUCUGGAGGGGAAAGCGGAAUUCCUGGUGUAGCGGUGAAAUGCGUAGAUAUCAGGAGGAACACCGGUGGCGAAGGCGGCUUUCUGGACAGAUACCGACGCUGAGGCACGAAAGCUAGGGGAGCAAACAGG